Molecule: ribosomal RNA, 331 nt
Filed under: uncultured Actinomycetes bacterium
Lineage: Bacteria; Bacillati; Actinomycetota; Actinomycetes
Description: bacterial SSU rRNA
Rfam family: Bacterial small subunit ribosomal RNA
Source: RNAcentral
GACGAACGCUGGCGGCGUGCCUAAUACAUGCAAGUCGAGCGGGGUCCAUCCAGUGGCAACACUGGUGAAGACCUAGCGGCGAACGGGUGAGUAACACGUGAGAAACCUGCCCCGAAGUCUGGGAUAACUCGAGGAAACUCGUGCUAAUACCGGAUGCCCCUACGAGGUCGCAUGGCCAUGUAGGGAAAGUUUUUUCGCUUCGGGAGGGUCUCGCGGCCUAUCAGCUAGUUGGUGGGGUAACGGCCCACCAAGGCAUCGACGGGUAGCUGGUCUGAGAGGACGAUCAGCCACACUGGGACUGAGACACGGCCCAGACUCCUACGGGUGGCAG